GGAUGAUUGUAUUUACUGUUAAUGAGGAUGAUAUGAUGCUUGUUGGAGAUGACCCUUGGCAGGAAUUUUGUGCUAUGGUCUGUCAGAUUUUUAUAUACACAAAAGAGGAGGUCUAGAAGAUGGAUUCAAGUACCUUGAACCUAAAAAAUGAAGAUUGUCCUGAUAUGAAAGAGAAUGUCAAGGAAACAAAAGGCAGUCAAUCUGCAUCAUUAUCUAAUUCAAAAAACUCAUAGGCUUAUCCUGCAAUGCUGACGACAUCUUUGCCAUGUGCAAUUCAAUCUUUGUAGGAUCUUGAAGUACAAACAAAGUGAUUGUUUGUGCUUUAUCUAAGUGAUUGUUUGAACAGUUUUAUAGCAUGCAUCUUGACAAUUGAUAUAAUUUUGAAGAUCACUAUCAAGGAAGAAUGUUCAAAGGAAAGUAAAGGCUAAGGAGAAGAUCACGUAAUUAACUACACGGGUCUAGUGAAAAUACUGAAGAAGUAUGACAAGAGAACAGGAGCACUUAUUAGGCAGCCCUUCAUCGAAAAGGUGUUGCAGCAACCAUUCUUUACAACUGAUCUCCUAUACAAACUCGUGAAGGAGUGUGGCUAUGUUCAACCACCUCUUCCCCAGCAACAACCUGUCAAUUUCAGCAGAAUGCGACAGACAAAAUGGAGUGCCAAAGCCGGCACAAUCAGGUGGGAGGGUUCCGGAGUUGGAGGAGAUUAAAUAUAUGUAGAGCUUAUACAUGAAGAGCACCGUAGCAGCGCUGUGGUCCUUGAAACAGAUUAGGAGCAAAAGUUCAACAGUCAAAACAGAUUAGAAAAUCUCGUGUUAUAUUGUUCUACCUUUGUUUUAAUAGUGUUAUCAUUUUGUUGGUUGCUUA
This is a long non-coding RNA of Zingiber officinale, 864 nucleotides long. RefSeq lists it as uncharacterized. The record is from RefSeq and is a predicted model, not a curated record. The transcript has 4 exons. NCBI's taxonomy places the organism in Eukaryota, Viridiplantae, Streptophyta, Magnoliopsida, Zingiberales, Zingiberaceae.